This 3296-nucleotide long non-coding RNA is filed under the name Olea europaea subsp. europaea. The record is from RNAcentral. Lineage: Eukaryota; Viridiplantae; Streptophyta; Magnoliopsida; Lamiales; Oleaceae.
AAAUGUUGGAAAUUAAAAAAAAAAAUGACGGCCAAAUGAAAAACAAAUAGAAGCAAGAGAGAAACCUACAAGCACUUUCCCUAACACCACCCCUAAACUCUUCCCUCUCCCUCACUAGAAUCGCCACCCAUCGCCUCGACGUCGACGACCUCUCAAUCAAGCCCACCGUCUACAUGGCCGGACCUAAUGAGAGGCCUCCGCCUCAGGCCUAGAAUUAUCAGCCCUUUUUUGUAACUUCUUCUUGCUGCUCGGAAUCAUACAGACACCUAAGAUCACUAUUGACAAUUAUUGAGAUUAACUCUUUGAUUCCAUUUGCUUUUAAAUUGCAAUUUUUCUCAAUAUGUUUUCCAUUCCGUUUACAUCUGUAACUUUCUUGAUUUUCCAUGAACAAUGUUAAGAAGAAACCCGGUGCAAACACAGACACUUCUACAGUGUUCGAAAUCCUCAUAUUAUUAGCAAAAGAAUAAGGGAUUGAAAUGUGUGUAUGGUCUGAAAUUGAAUCCGAUGAUCGGGCUGGGUUUUGAAGAUCUUGCAUUGAUAUUGCCAAGGUCAGUUUAUUGGCUAUCAUCUCAAGUUUUGUCAUAAAUUAAUGGAUUUUGAUUUUGCAGUUGCUAUGGUUUUGUUUAUUGUUAAAAUAUAGAUUCAACAUGUUCACAUUAUUUGGGGUUGAGCUUAUAAUGGGGUGUCAUUUGAAGUUAUGUGCUUUAACAGGAUUUGAAUUAAUUUCGACUUUAUGUUAAUUUGGAUUAAUUUGCUCUAUUGUUAUAGUUCCAUUUGAGGUACAUUACUGAAUUGAGAUCUUAUUCAAUGGUUAAAUUUACUUUUCAUGCAUAUUUUUAGGAUUUUUUGUUGGUUUUUAGUAAGUUAUAUUGGUUGAUAACUUGAUACCAAUUUCAUCAGCGUAAUGCAAGUUGUAGGUGGGUUUGGAUUUUUUCUCACAAGAGUAAGUAAAAUUCGAUAUACUCUGCACUGAAGAACUUAGGUAAAGGAAGCCAAAGUUAAGCUUGAAUGAUUUGAAUGUCGUGAAAAUGAAAUUGGAAGUGCCUCUAGAUUAUGCUGAAUUCCUUCUGUCACUAAAGCACUCAUGGUGAGGAUGUCUAGUUAAUUACAUUGGAUGUCGAUUCUCAUAAAUGGCUGAAUGUUAUAUAAUAUUUCAUUUUAUUUGUUGCUUUAUCGUUGAUUUCAAGUUAACAAAUUUAAUUCCGUAAAACUCUUAUAUAUGAAAACAUUGAUUGUUUACUACGAUUUAGGGGCCCAAAUUAUGAAGUUCACUUCAGGACCUGUGAAAUACAGGUACAGCACUGACUGUUGACGAACAUCGACACAGACACAUACACAGUAACCAACCCUAAACUCAUUCCUCUCUGUUUUUAGAAUCAUCUAGAGUCGAGCCGUCGACGACCAUCGUGAGUGCGAAAACGUCCACCGCAAACGCUUUUCAAGGUUAAUAUCUUAAGGUUUGCUUCUUCUUCUUUUUUUUUUUUUUUUUUUAAUUUCGUUUUGCAUUGUUUCCUCUCUAAGCCACCUAGGGCCUCAUGUUUUACAGGGGCCUCGUUGAGAAAAAAAAUCGAUCGAAAACCCUCUCCAAGAGCCAUCCAAAACCUAGCCACUAACUGCAGAGGACUGUGAGAAGCAGAGGAAAUCGUAGACUUUAGAGACGAAGUAGGUAACCAGUUAGUGCCCCUUAAUUUCUCUUUCGCCUUGUGUAGCAUUUUACAUAUCGUAUUUUUCUCCAUUGUUUAUUCAGUAGAGAAUGAAUUUGAUGUGCAAUAUUUUGUUGAUUUUUAUAAUUUGAAACCCCCCUUUCAAUGCUAACCGUCUUAGACUCUGAAGAAUGCUCUAAAUGUAGCAAAGUGAUUGUUUUUUUUUUUUAUUGAAAUUUGUUUGGAAUUUGUAAUGUUUAAAAUGGUGAUAAGCUUUUCAAAUAGUAACUAGUUUGGUUGUAGUGGUUUGGCAACUGUUGUGGUAAUACUUGUAUAUUUUACAUUGUGCAUUUGGAUGGAAAUCUUGAUAAAUACUUGGCAUAUUUGUGGGCCUAGACCACGUUUGUUUUGGGCAUUCACAUUUUUAUUGUUUUACAUGUUAACCUAGGAUCGCAUCAGUAUAAUGAGUGGAGCCUGUUUGGAUGAUAUGUUAACUCGUUGAAUAAAAUCGUUUUAAAUAUUCUCGAUACUUGUAUGAUAGACGUGUAGUUUGCUGAAUAAAUGUUUUGCUAAAUAAAAUAUUUAUAAAAUGAUCAAAGGAGCAUACGGAAGAUACAAGAAGCAAUCAACUGCUUUUAAUAUUUUUGACAUUUGGAAAGAUGACAUAUGGAUAAUACGAUAGUCUAAAUAAAAGGUAAAAGAUGAUUGAGUACACGCUAAGCAAUAUGAGGAAAAUAUUCUUAUAGCUGACAUAACUUAGUAUUUGUUUAUGACUUUUAAUAUGAAUACAGCCAUUGUUGAAACAUAAUCCUACUUAUAGUUUUCGUUGCCCAAUCCAUGCUAACUUCAGAUAGAAAAUUCUUUCUACUGUUAUGAGUGGUGGUACUCGUGUAUUACACAAUGUGUCUCUUAUGCAUACUCACAAAUAUCUUGAUUGACAAUUGACAUAGCUAUGGUUUUAAUGUUUUUGUUACUUGUUUGCUGUGGAAAUAACCUUGUUUCACUAAGUGCAACUGUUGUGGGAUACUUAUCUAUGCAUCUGGAUAGAAAUCUUGACUGACAAUGUCAUAUCUAUGGCUUCAACGUUUUUGUUACUUGUCUAAUGUGGAAAUAACCUUGUUUUCACUUGCAAUUCAUAUGCUAUAUUUGUCAGCUCAACUUGUGUUUCUUAACUUGGUUAGUGUAGAAUUUACUCAUUUCAUUUGAAAACAAAGGAAUAAAUAUGCACAGAUGUUGACAAAAAUCAUAUUAAUAAAUUGACAAUUUCGAAGACAGCGUUGUUUAUAUAUAGUUGUAAUUUCGAUAUUACAAAAUGAAAUUCUUAAAGGGUGACUUAAAGUUAUAUGGGUAGUACUCAUUGUAUGCAUUUGGGGGGAAAUCUUGACUUGCAAUCCAUAUGUUGUGAUGUGAAAAUAAACUUGCUUUGUUACUUGUGUGAUGUGGACAUAACCUUACUUUCAAUUGCAAUCAAUAUAUUGUGUUGUGGUGGUACUCAUAUCUGGGUGGAACUCUUGUUGAUAGACACUUGACAGCAGAGCUCUUCAAUAAUACCUAUUUGCUUAUCAAAAGUAGCUUUUUCAACAGUUCACUCAUGUAGAGAAAUCACUUACCUCUGAAUUGUCGUUCCCGACAGUUAAUGUAACGACCCAAAUA